GCUUAACAUGUGAUUCCAUUAGCUGGAGCAUCGUGGAUAUUUGCUAACAAUGCUAUCGAUAGAAACUUCCAAACUCUGCUUAGGAGUAGUAGCCGUAGUAGUAAUAAUAUAUUUACCUUAUCUGCGCUGUCGUUGCUACGUGACAAAAUUGUUAUCAUGAACAUUAAUUUAAACAUGUCAUUGAAUAGUUAGAAAUCCUAAUCCUUUGAUCAUGUGCAGUUUUAAAAUAUCUGUAGAUCAUUUUUGCUGAAUUGGUGCUGUACUUGAUUAACAGAUCAUUAACAAUGACAACAAACAGGAAAGCCCCUGAAAGAGAUGCCCUUCAACAUGUGGUCAAGGCUAUUGACAAGACUGCACACUUGGAAGUGAAAUUCAUAAACUCUGUCAAAGGUCGAGGUGUGUUUGCCAAAUCCCACUUUGAAAAAGGAAACUUUGUGGUGGAGUACCGAGGCCAAUUAAUAAAAUCUGAAGAAUCUCAAAGGAGGAGGAGAGUAUAUCAUAGUCAAUGUGCAGUCUUCCUGUUCGAUUUCUACUGGCAAGAAAGAUUAUGGUGCAUUGAUGCAGCUCAAGAAGAUGGCAGCUUGGGAAGAUUAGUUAAUGAUGAGAACAUCCGUCCCAAUUGCAAAAUGAAAAAGCUCAUAGUAGAGGGGAAGCCACACCUCUGUCUUUUCGCCCUGAGGAACAUUAUUCCUGGAGAGGAGAUUACGUAUAAUUAUGGAGGAACUGACUGGCCAUGGAGGAAUAAGAUUGAAGAGGAACCAGUUGAGACAAUGUCUCCUGCAGUAGAGGCCCCUGAAACAUCUCCGCAGCUUUUAGAGGCCCCUGAAACAUCUCCGCAGCUUGCAGUGCUAUCAUCAGUGUCCGAGAAAAAGAUUGAAGAGGAACCAGUUGAGACCAUGUCUCCUGCAGUAGAGGCCCCUGAAACAUCUCCGCAGCUUUUAGAGGCCCCUGAAACCUCUCCGCAGCUUGCAGUGCUAUCAUCAGUGUCCGAGAAAAAGAUUGGAAAGAAACGUCUUAUGACCAAAUCUGCCGCAGUAGAGGCCCCUAAAACAUCUCAGCCGCUUGCAGUGCUUUCGACAGUGUCCAAGAAAAAGAUUGGAAAGAAACGUCUUAUGACCAAAUCUGCCGCAGUAGAGGCCCCUAAAACAUCUCAGCCGCUUGCAGUGCUUUCGACAGUGUCCAAGAAAAAGAUUGAAGAGGAACCAGUUGAGACCAUGUCUCCUGCAGUAGAGGCCCCUGAAACAUCUCCGCAGCUUUUAGAGGCCCCUGAAACCUCUCCGCAGCUUGCAGUGCUAUCAUCAGUGUCCGAGAAAAAGAUUAAAGAGGAACCAGUUGAGACCAUGUCUCCUGCAGUAGAGGCCCCUGAAACAUCUCAGCAGCUUGCAGUGCUAUCAUCAGUGUCCAAGAAAAAGAUUGGAAAGAAACGUCUUAUGACCAAAUCUGCCGCAGUAGAGGCCCCUAAAACAUCUCAGCCGCCUGCAGUGCUUUCGACAGUGUCCAAGAAAAAGAUUGGAAAGAAACGUCUUAUGACCAAAUCUGCCGCAGUAGAGGCCCCUAAAACAUCUCAGCCGCUUGCAGUGCUUUCGACAGUGUCCAAGAAAAAGAUUGGAAAGAAACGUCUUAUGACCAAAUCUGCCGCAGUAGAGGCCCCUAAAACAUCUCAGCCGCUUGCAGUGCUUUCGACAGUGUCCAAGAAAAAGAUUGAAGAGGAACCAGUUGAGACCAUGUCUCCUGCAGUAGAGGCCCCUGAAACAUCUCCGCAGCUUUUAGAGGCCCCUGAAACCUCUCCGCAGCUUGCAGUGCUAUCAUCAGUGUCCGAGAAAAAGAUUAAAGAGGAACCAGUUGAGACCAUGUCUCCUGCAGUAGAGGCCCCUGAAACAUCUCAGCAGCUUGCAGUGCUAUCAUCAGUGUCCAAGAAAAAGAUUGGAAAGAAACGUCUUAUGACCAAAUCUGCCGCAGUAGAGGCCCCUAAAACAUCUCAGCCGCCUGCAGUGCUUUCGACAGUGUCCAAGAAAAAGAUUGGAAAGAAACGUCUUAUGACCAAAUCUGCCGCAGUAGAGGCCCCUAAAACAUCUCAGCCGCUUGCAGUGCUUUCGACAGUGUCCAAGAAAAAGAUUGAAGAGGAACCAGUUGAGACCAUGUCUCCUGCAGUAGAGGCCCCUGAAACAUCUCCGCAGCUUUUAGAGGCCCCUGAAACAUCUCCGCAGCUUGCAGUGCUAUCAUCAGUGUCCGAGAAAAAGAUUGAAGAGGAACCAGUUGAGACCAUGUCUCCUGCAGUAGAGGCCCCUGAAACAUCUCCGCAGCUUUUAGAGGCCCCUGAAACAUCUCCGCAGCUUGCAGUGCUAUCAUCAGUGUCCGAGAAAAAGAUUGGAAAGAAACGUCUUAUGACCAAAUCUGCCGCAGUAGAGGCCCCUAAAACAUCUCAGCCGCCUGCAGUGCUUUCGACAGUGUCCGAGAAAAAGAUCGAAGAGGAACCCGUUGUGACUAAUUCUACAGCAGUAGAGGCCCCUCAAACAUCCCAGCAGCCUGCAGUGCUUUCGUCAGUUUCCAAGAAAAAGAUUGGAGAGAAACGUACUGUGAUUGAGUCUGGACUAGCUGACCGUUAUGAAACACCUGAACACUGUGGUCUGCUUUCGCCCAAGAAAAAGAGAUGUAAUCUAAUUCAGGAGUCCUCAGACCAAGACCAACCUUAUGUCCCUAAACUGAGGAGGACCAAAAGCAUUCAGAUUAACAGACAAACCGAUUUUGAUUCCUAUGAGCUUUUUGAGACAUCAGAUGAAAGUGAAGAAGAAUAUGUUCCUGAUACAAGCGAGGAUUCAUCUGAUGAAACGGACACCAGUGAAGUUUUUGAAACAUCCAAUCAGAAGAAAAUUACAUUAAGGGGACGCUCACUCGUACGAAAGGGCAGUGCUUUGAAACGGAAAAGGCACCAUUCCAGAAGUGUAUCCUGUUGCCGAACACAUUCUUUUGGUGGACAGUCAUCAGAAACUUCAUACACUGAAGACCCUCAUGGAAGCUCGACACUGGUUUGUCCUGACAGUACUACUUCCCCCACUUCAGAUGUAGCUGACGACUUACUUACCGUACCUGCUGUCUGUAAAAAAGAGGAUGGAUCACGACAAUAUAACAAAAAACAGUACUGUUUAAACUGUAAAAAGGGAUUUAUAAAAAUGGCCAGGCAUUUAGAGCGUGCUCAUAAAAACGAGAAAGAAGUUGCACAGGCUGGGUCUUUUCCAAAAGGUUCUAAACAAAGAAGACUGCAUCUGGAACAUUUGAGAAAUCGAGGCAACUUCGCCCACAAUUCUGAGGUCUUAAAUACUGGUGUUGGAAAGCUUGUUCCUCGGAAACAACCAAAAGAUGAUUCUAAACCCAGAGAUUUUGAUCACUGUAUAUAUUGUCAAGGCUAUUUCACAAAGAAAGUUAUGUGGCGCCACAUGAUGAUAUGCAAGUUUAAGCCUAGUGGCCCUACGAAGCCUGGCAAAACACGGGUGCAAGCACUUUGUGCUUUUGCUGUACCACCACCACCUGGAGUCAAAGCAGAAUUCUGGAAGGUCCUAAACCAUAUGAUUCAAGAUGACGUUUACUUUGCAGUUAAAUCUGAUGUCUGGAUCAUGGAGUAUGGUGUGCAUUUGCAUAACAAGCAUGGAUAUGAUGUUGGCAAACAUGAAUAUAUCCGUCAGAAAAUGAGGGAACUGGGAAGGCUUUUGAUUUGUUCGAGGAAAACCACUCCCUUGAAGACCAUCGAAGAUCACAUGAAGCCUGAAAAUUUCAUGCAUGUUGUGCAAGCUGUGCAACUCGUGGCUGGCUUUGUCUCUGAAUCCAGCACCUACAAGCGUCCAAGUCUUGCACUAAAAAUUGGGCAUAGUCUGGUGAAGAUAUCGCUGCUUCUUGAAGCCCGUGCAAGUAUGCAAAACAACCAACCAGCAGCAAAAGAUGCUCGUAGGUUCCGCUCAGUGUACGAAGCCAGAUGGAACGAACUCAUUUCAGCUGCAUCACUGAGAACAAUGCAUGAAUCGAAAUGGAAUGUUCCUCAGUUGAUUCCGUUCACUAAGGAUGUUCAGAAACUCCACUCCUAUUUGGACAUGCAGCAGGAACAGUUUUACAACGAACUGUCCUCAGAGCCGUCUAAAAACACUUGGGUACAUCUGACUAAAAUCACUUUGACACAAGUCAUGAUGUUCAACCGACGUAGAACAGGAGAAGUUUCAAAAAUGCCCCUCUCUACCUAUUUUGCUCCAAAUCCAGUAGAUCUGCAGGAAGAUGUGGGUAUGGCGCUUUCAGAGCUAGAGAAAAAACUCUGUCAGCAUUUCAGGAGGUUGGAGAUACGAGGAAAAAGAGGAAGAAAGGUCCCUGUCCUCCUAACUCCAGAAAUGCAGAGAUCGUUGGACCUCCUUGUUGCCAAGCGACUUGAGUGUGGGAUUCUUAAGGAAAAUGGCUACCUAUUUGCCAGGCCGUCUGUAUUGACCUGCUACCGUGGUUCUGAUUGUAUCAGAGAUUUUGCCAAGGUCUGUGGUAUUGCAAACUACACAAGUCUCACUUCUACAAAACUGCGCAAGCAAACCGGAACACUCUCUCAAGUUCUCAACCUCAGUAAUACAGAGCUGGACCAAUUAGCCAAUUUCCUUGGCCAUGAUGUCAGAGUCCAUCGGCAAUUUUACAGGCUGCCUGAAGGGACCCUUCAACUUGCUAAAAUUAGCAAAGUCCUCUUGGCUCUUGAACAGGGGCGUUUGGCAGAAUUCAAAGGCAAAGGCCUGGAUGACAUCACAAUCGGUCCAGAAGAGAGUGUGAACCUUGACAGUGACCAUGAGGCACAGGAGAAUGUAGACAGUGACACUGAGGUACAGCGUGAGUCUGACACACAAGAAACCCAGUCUCAGAAGAGAGAGAGGAGUACAGAAGGGUUGAUGGAGAAAGAGGUCAAGGUUAAGUUGGAAAAGAUGAGUGAAGUAAUCUAUAACUAUGUCUUAGACAGGUUUGGAUGUGUGUGCCUUGAUCAAGAAUAGUUUUCUUCAUAUGUUUCCUUAAGAAAACUAGUUUUCUUUCCCUUUUGCUUGGAUGGGGGGUUUUGAACCUGGGUUGCCCGUUUGUGAGGCAAGUGCCUUGGCCAUUGUGCUACAGUGGAGUUGAAGAUCAGUGUAACUUAAGGUAAUAUGUGCAAUGUGAAUAGGUACACCCCAGACCAGUAGAGGGCAGCAAUGCAGAUUCUUGGUCAGUAGAAGCACAGCUGAAGAAGAGCAGACUAAGUUCCGUGGAGCUAACGACAGUAAGCGACAGUACGCGACAAUAGCGGGCAAUAUGGCGGCGAAAAGCGUCAAAAUAAAGUACAAAAGCGGACACAGAGUGUUUUACGGCUAAAUGAACGGGAAAGCAGUUCAGAUGGAGACGACAGAAGAAAAAGUGUCCAGAAGAAAAAGUCCAAGACCAUUCACAAGCCACAGAAGA
Alosa sapidissima (American shad) is the source of this 5442-nucleotide RNA transcript. RefSeq lists it as uncharacterized. The record is from RefSeq and is a predicted model, not a curated record. Lineage: Eukaryota; Metazoa; Chordata; Actinopteri; Clupeiformes; Clupeidae. The transcript is spliced from 28 exons.